RNAcentral lists this ribosomal RNA (446 nucleotides) under uncultured bacterium. Its description in RNAcentral is "bacterial SSU rRNA". It matches the Rfam family "Bacterial small subunit ribosomal RNA", at positions 337 to 797 of the family's 1533-position model. The record is from RNAcentral.
UCCUACGGGACGCAGCAGUGGGGAAUAUUGCUCAAUGGGGGAAACCCUGAAGCAGCAACGCCGCGUGAGUGAUGAAGGCCUUCGGGUUGUAAAACUCUGUCCUUGGGGAAGAAUGAAAUGACGGUACCCAGGGAGGAAGCCACGGCUAACUACGUGCCAGCAGCCGCGGUAAUACGUAGGUGGCAAGCGUUGUCCGGAAUUACUGGGCGUAAAGGGUGCGUAGGCGGUUGUUCAAGUCAGAUGUGAAAUACCCGGGCUUAACCUGGGGGGUGCAUUUGAAACUGGAUGACUUGAGUGCAGGAGAGGAAAGCGGAAUUCCUGGUGUAGCGGUGGAAUGCGUAGAUAUCAGGAGGAACACCGGUGGCGAAGGCGGCUUUCUGGACUGUAACUGACGCUGAGGCACGAAAGCGUGGGGAGCGAACAGGAUUAGAUACCCCGGUAGUCCC